RNAcentral lists this ribosomal RNA (441 nucleotides) under uncultured bacterium. Its description in RNAcentral is "partial 16S ribosomal RNA". It matches the Rfam family "Bacterial small subunit ribosomal RNA", at positions 338 to 795 of the family's 1533-position model. The record is from RNAcentral.
CCUACGGGGGGCUGCAGUGAGGAAUAUUGCACAAUGGGCGCAAGCCUGAUGCAGCAACGCCGCGUGGAGGACGAAGGCCUUCGGGUCGUAAACUCCUUUUCUGGGGAAAGAGCAAGGACGGUACCUCAGGAAUAAGUCUCGGCUAACUACGUGCCAGCAGCCGCGGUAAAACGUAGGAGGCGAGCGUUAUCCGGAUUUACUGGGCGUAAAGCGCACGCAGGCGGCUCUGUAAGUUGGACGUGAAAGCUCCCGGCUUAACCGGGAGAGGCCGUUCGAUACUGCGGGGCUUGAGGUAGGGAGAGGAAUGCGGAAUUCCCGGUGUAGUGGUGGAAUGCGUAGAUAUCGGGAGGAACACCUGUGGCGAAAGCGGCAUUCUGGCCCUCACCUGACGCUGAGGUGCGAAAGCGUGGGUAGCAAACAGGAUUAGAUACCCCAGUAGUC